AAUUAGUUAAUUGCAAUUAAUUAAAAUUAAAUAAUAAUUCGAAUCAAUUAAUUUAAUUUUUAAGUCAUCUCUUGUAUAUUGUGAAAAAUGCAAUCACUGUGGAUAGUGUUACAUGUGAUAUAUUUCUCUAACUCAUCGUUUUUAUUCAUUUACAUUGAUUCAGUUUGCAAACCAGUUAGAGUUUGUACCGAGCUAGUGGAGGGACACAUUGGACAUAUAUAAUUGCAGCUUAAAUAAUUUUCAAUUAAGUUCUGACUUUUCAUAUAUUAAUUACAAUAUUAUUUCGUCA
This 289-nucleotide long non-coding RNA is filed under the name Gossypium barbadense (sea-island cotton). Its description in RNAcentral is "long non-coding RNA (GBAR_LNC006504)". Lineage: Eukaryota; Viridiplantae; Streptophyta; Magnoliopsida; Malvales; Malvaceae. The record is from RNAcentral.